UUAAAUUGAAGAGUUUGAUCAUGGCUCAGAUUGAACGCUGGCGGCAGGCUUAACACAUGCAAGUCGAGCGGAAACGAGUUAUCUGAACCUUCGGGGAACGAUAACGGCGUCGAGCGGCGGACGGGUGAGUAAUGCCUAGGAAAUUGCCCUGAUG
RNAcentral lists this ribosomal RNA (154 nucleotides) under Vibrio alginolyticus. RNAcentral describes it as "partial 16S ribosomal RNA". It matches the Rfam family "Bacterial small subunit ribosomal RNA", at positions 1 to 135 of the family's 1533-position model. The record is from RNAcentral. Lineage: Bacteria; Pseudomonadati; Pseudomonadota; Gammaproteobacteria; Vibrionales; Vibrionaceae.